AGGACGAACGCUGGCGGCGUGCUUAACACAUGCAAGUCGAGCGGUAAGGCCCUUUCGGGGGUACACGAGCGGCGAACGGGUGAGUAACACGUGAGCAAUCUGCCCUUCACUUCGGGAUAAGCCUCGGAAACGGGGUCUAAUACCGGAUAUGACUGCGCCAUGCAUGUGGUGUGGUGGAAAGUUCUGGCGGUGAGGGAUGAGCUCGCGGCCUAUCAGCUUGUUGGUGGGGUAAUGGCCUACCAAGGCUUCGACGGGUAGCCGGCCUGAGAGGGUGACCGGCCACACUGGGACUGAGACACGGCCCAGACUCCUACGGGAGCAGCAGUGGGGAAUAUUGGACAAUGGGACGAAAGCCUG
Molecule: ribosomal RNA, 357 nt
Filed under: uncultured soil bacterium
Lineage: Bacteria
Description: bacterial SSU rRNA
Rfam family: Bacterial small subunit ribosomal RNA
Source: RNAcentral